RNAcentral lists this ribosomal RNA (422 nucleotides) under uncultured bacterium. RNAcentral describes it as "partial 16S ribosomal RNA". It matches the Rfam family "Bacterial small subunit ribosomal RNA", at positions 360 to 774 of the family's 1533-position model. The record is from RNAcentral.
AAUUAUGGACAAUGGGGGAAACCCUGACCUAGCCAUCCAGCGUGAAUGAUGAAGGCCUUCGGGUAGUAAAGUACUUUUGCCAGAGAAGAAAAGGUACCCCCUAAUACGAGAUACUGCCGACGGUAUCUCCAGAAUAAGCACCGGCUAACUAGUUGCCAGCAGCCGCGGUAAUACGUAGGGUGCAAGCGUUAAUCGGAAUUACUGGGCGUAAAGCGUGUGUAGGCGGUUCGGAAAGAAAGAUGUGAAAUCCCAGGGCUCAACCUUGGAACUGCAUUUUUAACUGCCGAGCUAGAGUAUGUCAGAGGGGGGUAGAAUUCCACGUGUAGCAGUGAAAUGCGUAGAUAUGUGGAGGAAUACCGAUGGCGAAGGCAGCCCCCUGGGAUAAUACUGACGCUCAGACACGAAAGCGUGGGGAGCAAACA